This 465-nucleotide ribosomal RNA is filed under the name uncultured bacterium. RNAcentral's name for it is "partial 16S ribosomal RNA". It matches the Rfam family "Bacterial small subunit ribosomal RNA", at positions 29 to 506 of the family's 1533-position model. The record is from RNAcentral.
AUGAACGCUGGCGGCGUGCUUAACACAUGCAAGUCGAACGGAAAGGCCCAAGCUUGCUUGGGUACUCGAGUGGCGAACGGGUGAGUAACACGUGGGUGAUCUGCCCUGCACUUCGGGAUAAGCCUGGGAAACUGGGUCUAAUACCGGAUAGGACCACUUCUUGGAUGUUGUGGUGGAAAGUUUUUUCGGUGUGGGAUGAGCUCGCGGCCUAUCAGCUUGUUGGUGGGGUAAUGGCCUACCAAGGCGUCGACGGGUAGCCGGCCUGAGAGGGUGUACGGCCACAUUGGGACUGAGAUACGGCCCAGACUCCUACGGGAGGCAGCAGUGGGGAAUAUUGCACAAUGGGCGCAAGCCUGAUGCAGCGACGCCGCGUGGGGGAUGACGGCCUUCGGGUUGUAAACUCCUUUCGCUAGGGACGAAGCGUUUUGUGACGGUACCUGGAGAAGAAGCACCGGCUAACUACGU